GACGAACGCUGGCGGCGUGCUUAACACAUGCAAGUGGAGCGACGAACCAGGCUUCGGCCUGGGGCAAAGCCGCGAACGGGUGAGUAACACGUGGGUAACCUGCCCCGAUGACCGGGACAACCCGAGGAAACUCGGGCUAAUACCGGAUGUGCUCGCAUCACAUCAGUGGUGUGAGCAAAGGUAGCUUCGGCCUCCGCAUCGGGAUGGGCCCGCGGCGCAUUAGCUUGUUGGNGGGGUAACGGCCUACCAAGGCGACGAUGCGUAGCUGGUCUGAGAGGACGAUCAGCCACACUGGGACUGAGACACGGCCCAGACUCCUACGGGAGGCAGCAGUGGGGAAUCUUGCGCAAUGCGCGAAAGCGUGACGCAGCAACGCCGCGUGGGGGAAGAAGGCCUCGGUUGUAA
This 405-nucleotide ribosomal RNA is filed under the name uncultured bacterium. Its description in RNAcentral is "bacterial SSU rRNA". It matches the Rfam family "Bacterial small subunit ribosomal RNA", at positions 28 to 428 of the family's 1533-position model. The record is from RNAcentral.